RNAcentral lists this small RNA (124 nucleotides) under Marmota monax (woodchuck). Lineage: Eukaryota; Metazoa; Chordata; Mammalia; Rodentia; Sciuridae. The record is from RNAcentral.
GCUGGGUGUGAUGGCGCAUAUCUGUAAUCCCAGUGGCUCGGAGACUGAGACAGGAGGAUCACGAGUUCAAAGCCAGCCUCAGCAAAAGUGAGGCUCUAAGCAACUCUGUGAGACCCUGUCUCUA